This 460-nucleotide ribosomal RNA is filed under the name uncultured bacterium. RNAcentral's name for it is "partial 16S ribosomal RNA". It matches the Rfam family "Bacterial small subunit ribosomal RNA", at positions 338 to 795 of the family's 1533-position model. The record is from RNAcentral.
CCUACGGGAGGCAGCAGUGAGGAAUAUUGGUCAAUGGACGAGAGUCUGAACCAGCCAAGUAGCGUGAAGGAUGACUGCCCUAUGGGUUGUAAACUUCUUUUAUAUGGGAAUAAAACGUUCCACGUGUGGGAUUUUGUAUGUACCAUAUGAAUAAGGAUCGGCUAACUCCGUGCCAGCAGCCGCGGUAAUACGGAGGAUCCGAGCGUUAUCCGGAUUUAUUGGGUUUAAAGGGAGCGUAGGUGGAUUGUUAAGUCAGUUGUGAAAGUUUGCGGCUCAACCGGAAAAUUGCAGUUGAAACUGGCAGUCUUGAGUACAGUUGAGGUGGGCGGAAUUCGUGGUGUAGCGGUGAAAUGCUUAGAUAUCACGAAGAACUCCGAUUGCGAAGGCAGUUCACUGGACUGCAACUGACACUGAGGCUCGAAAGUGUGGGUAUCAAACAGGAUUAGAUACCCGGGUAGUC